UUUGCCAAAGCUCGAGACGUACAUCAGAUACACACCUCCAUGUUGUCUCAAAACGGAGGCUGAUACAUCGUAAACGAUGAGAAGCAAUUCGGCGACUCCUCCGUCGCUCCUUGGCUCCGCCCACCACCUUCGGAACGGCGCUUAUUGUUUUAUUUAUUUCUUUUGCUAUAUUAUACAAUUUAAUAUUUAUUACUAAAUGUAACUAAUUUUAAAUAGUUACAUGGAUAUUUAACAAAUCAAUAUAUUAGAAUUAUAUUAUUCAAAUAAUUUAUCAAAAUUAAGUUUUGUUUAUUUUUGUUGCGUCAGUCACAUCAAUUGGUUAACAUACAUACAUAAGAAAAACGAGUUUUUCUACAGUAAAUGAAGGUCAUUCCUACUGGCAUAUGUUGCUAAAAUAACAUUAAAUCAACGAAUAUAAAAUUCAUUCAUUCAUCCUUUUAAAUCUUCCUGACAGACAAGAAGGAAAUGAUACAAGUCCAGUGGUAAUACACAAAUAUUUUAUUAAGAUGUAAAAUAUUAUAGUUAACAAUGAAUAAUUUUCUUUCUGCAAACCUACAUAUCCAACUUUAGUUUCAUAAAAUUUUUAUAUUUUUAAAUAAUUUAGUUUCUUAAUGAAUUUUUGAGUGAAGUUUGGUAACCUGUUGUUUUUUGUUUUUUGGUUAUUUUUCGUAGCUUUGCUUAGCAGCUGUCUUUUAGCAAAGCCGGGGGUUUCUUGUAGCUCCGCCCAUCAAUUAAAUCAGCGGACUUGCAGUAACUAAGAGAGGCAUACUGAAGUAGUUUUCUUGAGGUGAGUGAAUCUAUGGCUGAAAGUAGCGAGUGGUAAAAGCUGUUACUUUUACAAGCCUAGCUGAAUCUUGUAGGUGCCAUUUUUCCACUUUGCUACCCACGGUGGUGUGCAAGUGGAAGAAUUUGAGAUUAAAGUUAAGUGAAGACGGCAAUCUUUUACAUCAAAUAUUUAGUGUGAGAACUGCUGAAAUCUCCGAUGUUAUUAGAGAGCUGCCAAAAUGUAUUACCAAAUUAACAAAUUAUUACUUUCAGGGUACCUCCUGCUACUCAUCGUUAUAUCACACAGUACCGUUAAUUC
This is a long non-coding RNA of Octopus bimaculoides (California two-spot octopus), 1084 nucleotides long. NCBI's taxonomy places the organism in Eukaryota, Metazoa, Mollusca, Cephalopoda, Octopoda, Octopodidae. The record is from RefSeq and is a predicted model, not a curated record.